GACGAACGCUGGCGGCGUGCUUAACACAUGCAAGUCGAACGGAAAGGCCCUUCUUUUGUGGGGUGCUCGAGUGGCGAACGGGUGAGUAACACGUGAGUAACCUGCCCUUGACUUUGGGAUAACUUCAGGAAACUGGGGCUAAUACCGGAUAGGAGCUCCUGCUGCAUGGUGGGGGUUGGACAGUUUCGGCGGUUGGGGAUGGACUCGCGGCUUAUCAGCUUGUUGGUGGGGUAGUGGCUUACCAAGGCUUUGACGGGUAGCCGGCCUGAGAGGGUGACCGGCCACAUUGGGACUGAGAUACGGCGCAGACUCCUACGGGAGGCAGCAGUGGGGAAUAUUGCACAAUGGGCGGAAGCCUGAUGCAGCAACGCCGCGUGCGGGAUGAAGGCCUUCGGGUUGUAAACCGCUUUCGCCUGUGACGAAGCGGGAGUGACGGUAAUGGGUAAAGAAGCACCGGCUAACUACGUG
This 468-nucleotide ribosomal RNA is filed under the name uncultured bacterium. RNAcentral's name for it is "partial 16S ribosomal RNA". It matches the Rfam family "Bacterial small subunit ribosomal RNA", at positions 28 to 507 of the family's 1533-position model. The record is from RNAcentral.